This 253-nucleotide ribosomal RNA is filed under the name uncultured bacterium. Its description in RNAcentral is "partial 16S ribosomal RNA". It matches the Rfam family "Bacterial small subunit ribosomal RNA", at positions 524 to 776 of the family's 1533-position model. The record is from RNAcentral.
UACAGAGGUCUCAAGCGUUGUUCGGAUUCAUUGGGCGUAAAGGGUGCGUAGGCGGCGCGGUAAGUCGGGUGUGAAAUCUCGGAGCUUAACUCCGAAACUGCAUUCGAUACUGCCGUGCUUGAGGACUGGAGAGGAGACUGGAAUUUACGGUGUAGCGGUGAAAUGCGUAGAUAUCGUAAGGAAGACCAGUGGCGAAGGCGGCGAUCUGGACGAUGACUGACGCUGAGACGCGAAAGCGUGGGGAGCAAACAGG